This is a non-coding RNA of Podarcis lilfordi (Lilford's wall lizard), 73 nucleotides long. The record is from the annotation of a GenBank genome assembly. NCBI's taxonomy places the organism in Eukaryota, Metazoa, Chordata, Lepidosauria, Squamata, Lacertidae.
GCUGGAUUGACUCGGCUGGUAGAGUACGAGCCUCUCAGGCUCAGGGUCGUGGGUUCAAGCCCUAUGUUGGGCA